RNAcentral lists this long non-coding RNA (385 nucleotides) under Mytilus galloprovincialis (Mediterranean mussel). The record is from RNAcentral. Lineage: Eukaryota; Metazoa; Mollusca; Bivalvia; Mytilida; Mytilidae.
GUCAGGAGAAGGCUAUUGCUCCUUGUUUUUAAUAAUGAUAUAACUUAUUGAUCAGUUUGAGGUGUGUUUCGACUUCAAUUUAUCAUUACUGUUCAUAGUAUGAAAGGGGUGAAAUCUAUUUCACAAACAAUAUACUGGAAACAUUAUUGGUAAAACAUUUAUAUGAAUUUUUGUUGUGUCUGGUUUGGUAUGUUAUUUGUUUAUUUUUUGAUUGUUUAACCCUCCUUGUAAUAAUGAAGAUAUAAUAUUUCUGUUUUAUUGGAGGAUUUGUUACAAGUCUGCUUGAAAGUUUUGUGAUGGUACAUGAACAUAUUUUAAAUACAUGUUUCUCAAAUGAUCAUACUUUGAAUGAUAAGACCUCAUAAAGAAUUGUAUAGGAACAUUU